CCUACGGGAGGCAGCAGUGGGGAAUAUUGGGCAAUGGGCGCAAGCCUGACCCAGCAACGCCGCGUGAAGGAAGAAGGCUUUCGGGUUGUAAACUUCUUUUCUCAGGGACGAAGCAAGUGACGGUACCUGAGGAAUAAACCACGGCUAACUACGUUCCAGCAGCCGCGGUCAUACGUAGGUGGCAAGCGUUAUCCGGAUUUACUGGGUGUAAAGGGCGUGUAGGCGGGACUGCAAGUCAGAUGUGAAAACCACGGGCUCAACCUGUGGCCUGCAUUUGAAACUGUAGUUCUUGAGUACUGGAGAGGCAGACGGAAUUCCUAGUGUAGCGGUGAAAUGCGUAGAUAUUAGGAGGAACACCAGUGGCGAAGGCGGUCUGCUGGACAGCAACUGACGCUGAGGCGCGAAAGCGUGGGGAGCAAACAGGAUUAGAUACCCGGGUAGUC
This 443-nucleotide ribosomal RNA is filed under the name uncultured bacterium. RNAcentral's name for it is "partial 16S ribosomal RNA". It matches the Rfam family "Bacterial small subunit ribosomal RNA", at positions 338 to 795 of the family's 1533-position model. The record is from RNAcentral.